This 509-nucleotide ribosomal RNA is filed under the name Salmonella enterica subsp. enterica serovar Paratyphi B var. L(+) tartrate +. RNAcentral describes it as "partial 23S ribosomal RNA". It matches the Rfam family "Bacterial large subunit ribosomal RNA", at positions 725 to 1232 of the family's 2925-position model. Lineage: Bacteria; Pseudomonadati; Pseudomonadota; Gammaproteobacteria; Enterobacterales; Enterobacteriaceae. The record is from RNAcentral.
GUGAUCUAGCCAUGGGCAGGUUGAAGGUUGGGUAACACUAACUGGAGGACCGAACCGACUAAUGUUGAAAAAUUAGCGGAUGACCUGUGGCUGGGGGUGAAAGGCCAAUCAAACCGGGAGAUAGCUGGUUCUCCCCGAAAGCUAUUUAGGUAGCGCCUCGUGAAUUCAUCUCCGGGGGUAGAGCACUGUUUCGGCUAGGGGGCCAUCCCGGCUUACCAACCCGAUGCAAACUGCGAAUACCGGAGAAUGUUAUCACGGGAGACACACGGCGGGUGCUAACGUCCGUCGUGAAGAGGGAAACAACCCAGACCGCCAGCUAAGGUCCCAAAGUCAUGGUUAAGUGGGAAACGAUGUGGGAAGGCCCAGACAGCCAGGAUGUUGGCUUAGAAGCAGCCAUCAUUUAAAGAAAGCGUAAUAGCUCACUGGUCGAGUCGGCCUGCGCGGAAGAUGUAACGGGGCUAAACCAUGCACCGAAGCUGCGGCAGCGACACUGUGUGUUGUUGGGUAGG